Urocitellus parryii (Arctic ground squirrel) is the source of this 106-nucleotide small nuclear RNA. The record is from Ensembl. Lineage: Eukaryota; Metazoa; Chordata; Mammalia; Rodentia; Sciuridae.
GUACUUGCUUGGGCAGCACAUAUACUGAAAUUAGAAUGAUACGAGAAGAUUAAUAUGGCCCCCAUGUGAGUGUGAUGCCCAAAUUUAUGAAGCAUUGCAUAUUAAA